UUUAGUUAGUCUUUAAUAUUAUUGAAGACCAACACCCUUAAUUUCAUCAAAUUAGAUUUUUCAUUUUAGGGUUCACUUCACUUCCGACUUCUCAGUUCCGACUGGCGACUACCGGUGCUCAUCCGAGUCUGACUGCCACUGCUCUUAUUCUCUUAUGAGUUUCGAUUGCCGUUGAUCCGCCGGCAUUCACUGUUACUCCACUGGUCACUGCUUAGUCUGCUCUUCGCCAAUCACCUGUUUCUUCUUUAGGUAAUAUUUUUUCCAGUGUUGAAAUAUAAAUUACAUGAUCUGAGAGUUCUACUUCAUUGUAUUAUUGGUGUUAGAGACUUGAAUUUAGUUCCUAAUAUCAUGUUCUUGAGUUUGUAUUAUGUAUAGUAGUUUACAUUUUUUUUUAAUUCUCUUUUCAUUAAAUUUUCUAUAGAUAGAAGAAGUUGAAAGUAGAGUAAAUGAGGUGGGUUCAACCGAAAGUGAGCCUACUUCUUCACCUACAAAUUCAAUUGAAACUAGUCAAGGUCCAAAAAACAAAAAUCCAUACAAUCUAGAUCAGAAGCUUGGGAUCAUUUUGAAAAAUAUAAAGAUGGAAAUGGAGCCGAUAGAGUGAAGUGUAAAUAUUGUGGUCGUGAUUAUAAGGCCGAUACAUAAUUGAAUGGAACAACAUCCCUGAAUACUCAUUUAAAGAAGUGUCCAAAAAUUUCGAAGAAUAUUGUUGAUAGUACUCAAACGUAAUUGUCUUUCAAAAUAGAUUGGAAAACAAAGGGGGGGGGGUGCUAUGAAAAUUUGAUCAAGAACUAGUUAGUAUGACUUUAGUUGAGAUAAUAAUUACAGAGGAACUACCUUUUAGUUUUGUUGAAAAGACAGGCUUUAGAACGUUCAUGAGUAUCGCCCAACCUUUGUUUCAUGUUCUUUCUCAUAGAAUAAUUACGAGAGAUUGUUUUCAAGUUUAUGGUGAAGAAAUACUAAAACUAUUGAAGAAUUUUGAUGUAAAACCAAAAAUUUGCCUUACCACCGACACAUGGACUUCAUUACAAUGAAUAAAUUAUAUGUGUCUGACUGGUCACUUUAUUGAUAGAGAUUGGGUGUUACAUAAAAGAAAACUAAAUUUUAUCCAUAUCUCUAGUCAUAAGGGUGAUGAGAUGCCAAAAGUUAUUAGUAAUUAUUUGCUUGAAUGGAGAUUAGGCAAGGUAUUCACUGUUACGAUUUAUAACGCUUCUUCCAAUGAUUUAACGGUUAAAGAAUUAUCUAAAUAAUUAGAUAUGUGGAAAACUAAUUCGAUGAGUGGUAAGCAUCUUCAUGUGAGGUGAAUGGCUCACGUAGUUAAUCUAAUUAUGCAAGAUGGUUUAAAAGAAACCGAUGUUUCUGUUAAACGUGUUAGACAAAUUGUGAGGUAUGUGAGAUCAUCACCUCAAAGGACCUUAAAGUUUAAGAAGUGUUGUGCACAUUAAGAGGUAGAAUGUACCAAAAUAUUAUGUUUAGAUGUUCCUACUAGGUGAAAUUCCGCCUACUUGAUGUUGGAUACGGAGCAAAAUUUUGAGAAGGCCUUUGAUAAGUUUCAUAUUUUUAAUGAUGGAUUUUCUACUUAUGUUUGUUCUCAUAUUUGUGAAGAUGGGAAGAUUGUAGCUCCACUCGAAUGUGAUGAUUGAGUGAAUAUUAGAUGUGAUAAAGUUUCUUAAAAGAUUUCACGAGCUCACCGAAAAAGUUUCAGGUUCACGUUAUGUCACUUCUAAUUGUCAUUUUGAGGAUAUAUGUGAACUUGAUAAUCAUUUGAAAGCUUGUUUGGCAAGUGAAGAUACUAGUUUGAGUAAGAUGGCAGAGGAUGGAAGAAAAUUUUAAGAAAUAUUGGGGUGAACCAGAAAAGAUGAAUAAAAUAAUAUUUAUUGCUUCUGUAUUAGAUCCCCGUAACAAAUUGGAGUAUGUUGGUUUUGCACUUGGAAAAAUAUUUGGGAUGAAGAAGGAAAGAAAAUAACUGUUGAAGCGAAGGCUUAUAUGACUUCUUUGUUUGGAGAGUAUCAACAAAAAUAUUCAAGAGGAUAUCAUCUUCAAUCAUGUUCAUUUACAUCUAGUUCAUCUAAUGACACAUCUGAUACAUCUAGUGGGAGUGAGAGUAUGAGAACAAAAAAAGUGAGAACAAAGCUUCAAUUAAAGAGACAAAAGGAAGACUCUGGGAGUGCGGGUGCUAAAUCGGAGUUGGAAAGAUAUAUUAGUGAAGAACAAGAGCUUGCGUCUGAUUCUGAUGACUUUAAAAUCUUAGAUUGGUGGAAACUUAAUGCACAUAGAUUUCAUGUUCUUUCUGAGCUAGCUCGUGAUGUAUUGGCCAUUCCAAUUUCUAGUGUGACAUCAGAAUGCGCAUUUAGCACCAGUGACCGCAUUCUUGAUUCAUUUAGGAGUUCAUUGACUCCUCGGUUGGCGCAAAGUCUUGUUUGUGUUUAAGAUUGGUUUAGAUGCGAGAGUAAUCCUAUUAAUAUUGAAGAAGAUUUGGAGUUUCUUGAACAAUUUGAACUUGGUAAGAUUUUUGUGUUUAAUAUGGUUUUUAGUGCAAAAUAAUUUAGUUAUGUUAUAUGACACACUUUGUCAAAUAAUAUUUAGAUAUGACAAAUAGUGGAAUAGAAACCUGCAUUGUUGAAAGGGAUGCAAGUUAGUUAAAUGGCAAGUUUAUAGAUUUGCUUGUUUUGUGAUAUCUUUUUGUUAUUUAUUAGUUAAAAAGAUUGUAUUUAACUUGUGAUCUUUUUUUAAUUUGUAGGUUCAACCAUGCCUUGCGGUCCUAAAACUAGAUCGCCUAUUUGGAAAUAUUUUGAGAUUGUUGAAGAAAAUGAAGGGCACAAAGGUAAGUGCGUUCAUUGUGGUCGAGUUUAUAAUUUUAAUCCGAAGGUUAAUGUAACUUUUGCUUUAAUGAAACAUAUUGAGAAGAAGUGUCUUCUCCUUCAUCUAAGGUUGGAGAUUCAUAUUUAACUAUCUAAGUUUGGUUAUGGCACUUGGUGUUAUUUGGUGACCUUUUACCAAACUUAAUUUGUGGCUUUUGUGAUAGUCACUAUUUGGUUAGACUUAUUAUGGCUUUUGUGAUAGUCACUAUUAUGUGUUUAAGUUGUCAUGUAUUGUGUUAGAACUUUGAUGGCUGGAAAUAUUUCUGCCCGAUUAUUGUUUGAUCAAAUGUUUCUGCCAAGAUGGAAACAGUAGCCACAUAUUGUGUUUGAAUUUUUGCUUUUUGGACUUUUGCUUCCUUUGCAGUCAGAUGCUUUUUGGCUUUUUGCUUACUAGUGUUGUCUGCAAAUUGCAAUUUCACUGAAGGUGCACGCAAUUGCUAUUGCAACGUCAGUGCACUGCAGUUUGUAACAAAGGAAUAUAUAUUAGUGGAAGGUGCAAUUCCACUGAUAUAUGGUAAAGUACACACUCAUUUGUUAUGAAGUACUCUAGUUUUUAUGUUGAAAUCCUUAUGUAUUUUGUUCUAUAAAUCAUAAAAGUCACUUAUGUGGAGAAUAUUACUUGUUUAGAUCAUAAUACUAUUGAAAGAACAGAUUUUUACCUUUCAGAAAAAAGAAAAUGGUGUUUCAGUUCUUCAGUGCAUCAACCGGCCAUUAAUGUUUUUUGUUGAGUGGAACUUCAAAUUUCAGAAGCAAAUACAUGAUUGUGGUUACCUGCCUAGCUAUUUUUUUUGUUAAGCUAGUUUCAAUCCAAAAUAACCUUGUAAAACGGUUUGUUAUUUUGAUGGCUGUAAGGUCAUAAAAUACAAGGUCAGCAGCAGUGGUUGGAGCCAAUAUAUUUACAAAGGUGAUUCAAAAUAUAAAGAAGAUUGCCCAUGACAUAUGGUAAAAGAAAUAACUAGCUUACUUGAUUCUAUCUUUUAUCAACGGAAAGAACAUUACAGAAUACUUACGGUGUGUGAUUAAUCUAUGCUUAAUGUUGAUAAACUAGGACAAUAACCGACCGAACCAAAAUCAAAAACCAACCGAACCAUAGUUUCAAACACCAAACUAACUGAAGUUAUACUGGUUCGGUUGUCGGUGCACCAAAUCAAUAACCGAAUACCGAACAAACUGAACCGAACUUCUUGCAAACUGCACUGCACCGACCGACGCCCACCCCUAGUGCACCUCCACUUUUGCUUUCUUCAAAUGCUUAACAUGAUUUUGUUUCCUUGGCCUUUUUACCAUCAUUUUUCUUGUUGGUUGUUUUAUUGAUUCUUUUCAUGGGCUUAUUUUGUGGCGCCUACGACGAGUCACCAACGUCCAACCUUCAUUAUCAGGCUGAUCAACUUCGGCUUUGUUAUUCUCCAAUAAUUCUUCAUCUUUACUUUCUUUGAAACUACAUAAUUCAUCUGGACUGAAUGAGACAAAGGUGAUAGAGACUUGGUUUGCGCUUGCUUUCUCAUCUUCAAGCACGAUCUUCUUUUCACGAGCCAAGUCCAUAACUUUGUCCUUGAAUACAAAGCACUUCUCCAAAUGGUGGCUUACAAGUCGUUGGUAUUUGCAGUAAUUUGGGUCAUUCAUUUUACCAGCUUCAUUCGGCCGCUUCAUCUCCAGAAGCUCAAUGAGCUUUAACUAGAGGAGUUUUUCAAAAACUGCUGGCGCAUCAGAAUCCAUAAAUGGGUACUCCUUCUCUUGCAUUUCUUUUAGAGUUAACUUUCCACUUGGCUUAUUUUGAAAAGAUAUGGAUUUCAUACUCUGCUUCUUGCUCACCUUCAUUGUAAACUUCACAGGUGAUGUGUUAAAAUUCAUAGCUUCUUAAUUUUCAUACUUGGGUACAAACUUGCUCCAUUUCCUGACUUCUUGCUUGUCAUUCCCUUUACGAGGCUCAUAGAUGGGCAAAAUUUCAUAUCCAGCAGAGGCUAUGCUCAACUCCAUGUCAUUGGCACGAGUCGCAAGUUCUUCAAAUGUGCUAGGCUUGAUACCUUGUAAGAUGUAGCGUAGCCUCCAAUGCAUGCCUUGGAUGUACAUUUCUAUGCCAGAAGCUUCACUAAUCUUGUCUUUGUAGUUGAGGCUUGC
RNAcentral lists this long non-coding RNA (4976 nucleotides) under Nicotiana tabacum (common tobacco). Its description in RNAcentral is "long non-coding RNA (NTAB_LNC000998)". Lineage: Eukaryota; Viridiplantae; Streptophyta; Magnoliopsida; Solanales; Solanaceae. The record is from RNAcentral.